UACACGACCGUACCGCAAACCGACACUGGUGCGCGAGAUGAGUAUUCUAAGGCGCUUGAGAGAACUCAGGAGAAGGAACUCGGCAAAUUGACACCGUAACUUCGGAAGAAGGUGUGCCUUUAGUAGGUGAACCUGUACAAGGGGAGCCCAAUGAGGUUGCAAAAAAUCGGUGGCUGCGACUGUUUAAUAAAAACACAGCACUCUGCAAACACGAAAGUGGACGUAUAGGGUGUGACGCCUGCCCGGUGCUGGAAGAUUAAAUGAUGGGGUGCAAGCUCUUGAUUGAAGUCCCAGUAAACGGCGGCCGUAACAAUAACGGUCCUAAGGUAGCGAAAUUCCUUGUCGGGUAAGUUCCGACCUGCACGAAUGGCGUAACGAUGGCCACACUGUCUCCUCCUGAGACUCAGCAAAGUUGAAAUGUUUGUGAUGAUGCAAUCUCCCCGCGGAAAGACGGAAAGACCCCAUGAACCUUUACUGUAGCUUUGUAUUGGACUUUGUACAGAUCUGUGUAGGAUAGGUGGGAGGCUUUGAAGUGUGGUCGCUAGAUCGCAUGGAGCCAACGUUGAAAUACCACCCUGGUGUGUUUGAGGUUCUAACCUAGGCCCGUAAUCCGGGUCGGGGACAGUGCAUGGUAGGCAGUUUGACUGGGGCGGUCUCCUCCCAAAGCGUAACGGAGGAGUUCGAAGGUACGCUAGGUACGGUCGGACAUCGUGCUAAUAGUGCAAUGGCAUAAGCGUGCUUAACUGCGAGACUGACAAGUCGAGCAGAUGCGAAAGCAGGACAUAGUGAUCCGGUGGUUCUGUAUGGAAGGGCCAUCGCUCAACGGAUAAAAGGUACUCUGGGGAUAACAGGCUGAUACCGCCCAAGAGUUCAUAUCGACGGCGGUGUUUGGCACCUCGAUGUCGGCUCAUCUCAUCCUGGGGCUGUAGCCGGUCCCAAGGGUAUGGCUGUUCGCCAUUUAAAGAGGUACGUGAGCUGGGUUUAAAACGUCGUGAGACAGUUUGGUCCCUAUCUUCCGUGGGCGCUGCAGAUUUGAGGAAGCCUGCUCCUAGUACGAGAGGACCGGAGUGGACACACCUCUGGUGUAUCGGUUGUCACGCCAGUGGCAUUGCCGAGUAGCUAUGUGUGGAAGAGAUAACCGCUGAAAGCAUCUAAGCGGGAAACUCGUUUCAAGAUGAGAUCUGCCGGGGCCUUGAGCCCCCUAAAGAGUCGUUCAAGACCAGGACGUUGAUAGGUCGGGUGUGGAAGCGCAGUAAUGCGUUAAGCUAACCGAUACUAAUUGCUCGUGCGGCUUGAUCA
RNAcentral lists this ribosomal RNA (1299 nucleotides) under metagenome. RNAcentral describes it as "bacterial LSU rRNA". It matches the Rfam family "Bacterial large subunit ribosomal RNA", at positions 1635 to 2925 of the family's 2925-position model. The record is from RNAcentral.